RNAcentral lists this transfer RNA (72 nucleotides) under bacterium. RNAcentral's name for it is "tRNA-Thr". It matches the Rfam family "tRNA". From Rfam's summary of the family: Transfer RNA (tRNA) molecules are approximately 80 nucleotides in length. Their secondary structure includes four short double-helical elements and three loops (D, anti-codon, and T loops). RNAcentral also lists the same sequence under 1 other name. The record is from RNAcentral.
GCCGAUGUAGCUCAGUGGUAGAGCAUUUCCAUGGUAAGGAAAAGGUCGUGAGUCCAAUUCUCACCAUCGGCU